GACGAACGCUGGCGGCGUGCUUAACACAUGCAAGUCGAACGAGACGAUUGGAAGCUUGCUUUUAAAAGUCGAGUGGCAAACGGGUGAGUAACGCGUAGACAACCUGCCUUUGAGAUGGGGACAACAGUUCGAAAGGACUGCUAAUACCGAAUGUUGUAUAUUUUCCACAUGGAAGAUAUAUUAAAGAUGUCCUCUAGUUAUAAGCUAUCGAUAAAAGAUGGGUCUGCGUCUGAUUAGUUGGUUGGUGGGGUAACGGCCUACCAAGGCGACGAUCAGUAGCCGGUCUGAGCGGAUGAACGGCCACAUUGGGACUGAGACACGGCCCAGACUCCUACGGGAGGCAGCAGUGGGGAAUCUUCCACAAUGGACGAAAGUCUGAUGGAGCAACGCCGCGUGAGUGAAGAAGGGUUUCGGCUCGUAAAGCUCUGUUGUCGGGGACGAAUGUGCAGUAUUUGAAUAAAGUACUGUAAUGACAGUACCUGACGAGGAAGCCACGGCUAACUACGUGCCAGCCGCCGCAGUAA
Molecule: ribosomal RNA, 524 nt
Filed under: uncultured bacterium
Lineage: Bacteria
Description: partial 16S ribosomal RNA
Rfam family: Bacterial small subunit ribosomal RNA
Source: RNAcentral